AGUGAACGCUGGCGGUAGGCCUAACACAUGCAAGUCGAACGGCAGCACAGUAAGAGCUUGGUCUUACGGGGGGGGGGUGGCGGACGGGGGGGGAAUAGAUCGGAAUCUACUUUUUCGUGGGGGAUAACGGAGGGAAAGUUACGCUAAUACGGGAUACGACGGACGGGUGAAAGGAGGGGAUCUUGGGAGCUUGUGCGAUUGUAGGAGCCGAUGUCGGAGUAGAUAGUUGUCGGGGUGGAGGCCAACCAAGGCGACGACGCGUGGCUGGUCUGGGAGGAGGAUCGGCCACAAUGGAACUGAGACACGGUCCCGACUCCUACGGCAGGCAGCAGUGGGGAAUAUUGGACAAUGGGCGCAAGACUGCUCCAGCCAUACCGCGUGGGUGGAGAAGGCCUUCGGCUUGUAAAGCCCUUUUGUUGGGAAAGAAAAGCAGCAGGUUAAUACCCCGCUGUUCUGACGGUACCUAAAGAAUAAGCACCGGCUAACUUCGUG
Molecule: ribosomal RNA, 492 nt
Filed under: uncultured bacterium
Lineage: Bacteria
Description: partial 16S ribosomal RNA
Rfam family: Bacterial small subunit ribosomal RNA
Source: RNAcentral